This 2547-nucleotide long non-coding RNA is filed under the name Mus musculus (house mouse). Its description in RNAcentral is "non-coding RNA suppressor of Stat1". The record is from RNAcentral. Lineage: Eukaryota; Metazoa; Chordata; Mammalia; Rodentia; Muridae.
GAUUUAUUAUUCGAGCUGGAUCCUGGAACUUGAGGUGUGAUUCUGCCACAUGACUCUGAAUGAAACAGGUUAUUCUCCAUGUCGUAUGUGGCCUCAGCCAGCCACUUUGAAGCCCAGAAACACCCAGACCUCCUGAGGAGAAAUGUGUGCCUCCAGCCUGGCUUCAGACUGACAAGAGGACACACAGCACCGGAGUGCUCUUACCGACCGAACUAUCUCCCCAGACCGGAGCCCAACCUUUAAAAGAAAGGAAAAUGAAAUGUCUAUAUCAAGGUGAUAGAAGUUCUUAUUCUUUUCCUCUUUGUUCAUAUCUUUACUUUCUAGAAUGUUCCAGAGCAGACUUUUUGAAUGGCUGGGGUUCCAAGUUAUAGUCUGAACACCCCUGACACUCUGGAAUGGGAGGGCUAGACACAAACUCUCCCUGAGUCUCCACUGCCUCGUGAAAUGCACUGGUUCUGAUGUCUGCACAGGUACCUCCAGCUUGCAAAAUUCACGGGUUUGUGGUUUCUUUGUUCUAGUAAGAAACAUUCACAGGUCUUCCAUAUGCUAGCUACUUUGUCAGAAGAUAGUAGCUUAGUUAAAGCUGUCAUCCUACAGAAGAGAACUGCUACCCUCAUUUUACAUGUGAAGAAAUGGAGCUUCAAAGAAACUCUUAGGUGACAGACCUGGAGCCGAGCCCCAGGCAAUGUUUUCUUCACCCUGUAGCACUCCUCAAAAAAGCUAACAAUUCUCAAAGCCUCGCUGCAGGUCUUCCUUGAUUUCUCUCAGAAGCUUAUUGCUUCUCAAGAGUGUCCUGAAGAUGGCGCUGUGGGUCCCGACUGCUCUUGUAACUGGCAUUGGUUUGUCCUUUAAAAAGACUAUGUUUCUGUAGAAAAAUUGGAAUUGAUCCAUUCCUAUCUCCUUGUACUAAGGUCAAAUCUAAUUGGAUCAAGGAACUCCACAUAAAACCAGAGACACUGAAACUUAUAGAGGAGAAAGUGGGGAAAAGCCUCAAAGAUAUGGAUGGGCACGGGGAAAAUUCCUGAAUAGAACAAGCAAUGGCUUGUGCUGUAAGAUCGAGAAUUGACAAAUGGGACCUCAUAAAAUUGCAAAGCUUCUGUAAGGCAAAGGACACCGUCAAUAAGACAAAAAGGCCACCAACAGACUGGGAAAGGAUCUUUACCUAAAAGAUAGGGGACUAAUAUCUAACAUAUAUAAAGAACUGAAGAAGGUGGACUCCAGAAAAUCAAAUAACCCCAUUAAAAAAUGGGGCUCAGAGCUAAACAAAGAAUUCUCACCUGAGGAAUAUCGAAUGGCUGAGAAACACCUGAAAAAAUGUUCAGCAUCCUUAAUCAUCAGGGAAAAUGCAAAUCAAAACAGCCCUGAGAUUCCAUCUCACACCAGUCAGAAUGGCUAAGAUCAAAAACUCAGGUGACAGAAGAUGCUGGCGAGGAUGUGGAGAAAGAGGAACACUCCUCCAUUGUUGGUGGGAUUGCAAGCUUGUACAACUACUCUGGAAAUCAGUCUGGCGGUUCCUCAGAAAAUUGGACAUAGUACUAACGGAGGAUCCCACAAUACCUCUCCUGGGCAUAUAUCCAGAAGAUGUUCCAACCGGUAAGAAGGACACAUGCUCCACUAUGUUCAUAGCAGCCUUAUUUAUAAUAGCCAGAAGCUGGAAAGAACCCAGAUGCCCCUCAACAGAGGAAUGGAUACAGAAAAUGUGGUACAUUUACACAAUGGAGUACUACUCAGCUAUUAAAAAGAAUGAAUUUAUGAAAUUCCUAGGCAAAUGGAUGGACCUGGAGGACAUCAUCCUGAGUGAGGUAACCCAAUCACAAAAGAACUCACAUGAUAUGUACUUACUGAUAAGUAGAUAUUAGCGCAGAAACUUAGAAUACCCAAGAUACAAGAUACAAAGCACAGGAAACUCAAGAAGAACAAAGACCAAAGUGUGAACACUUUGUCCCUUCUUAGAAUUGGGAACAAAACACCCAUGGAAGGAGUUAUAGAGACAAAGUUUGGAGCUGAGACAAAAGGAUGGACCAUCUAGAGACUGCCAUAUCCAGGGAUCCAUCCCAUAAUCAGCCGCCAAACGCAGACACCAUUGCAUACACUAGCAAGAUUUUGCUGAAAGGAUCCUGAUAUAGCUGUCUCUUGUGAGACUAUGCCGGGGCCUAGCAAACACAGAAGUGUAUGCUCACAGUCAGCUAUUGGAUGGAUCACAGGGCCCCCAAUGGAGGAGCUAGAGAAAGUAUCCAAGGAGCUAAAGGGAUCUGCAACCCUAUAGGUGGAACAACAUUAUGAACUAACCAGUACCCCGGAGCUCUUGACUCUAGCUGCAUAUGUAUCAGAAGAUGGCCUAGUUGGCAAUCACUGGAAAGAGAGGCCCAUUGGUCUUGCAAACUUUAUAUGCCCCAGUACAGGGGAACGCCAGGGCCAAGAAGUGGGAGUGGGUGGGUAGGGGAGUGGGUGGGGAGGGUAUGGGAGACUUUUGGGAUAGCAUUGGAAAUGUAAAUGAGGAAAAUACCUACUAAAAAAAUUUUAAAUAAAAGACUAUAUGUUUCGAUC